Manihot esculenta (cassava) is the source of this 2982-nucleotide RNA transcript. It is a transcript of the gene named transcription factor TCP2, with no coding region annotated. The transcript has 6 exons. Lineage: Eukaryota; Viridiplantae; Streptophyta; Magnoliopsida; Malpighiales; Euphorbiaceae. The record is from RefSeq and is a predicted model, not a curated record.
UGGGAACGGCAUUGUAUCUGUCAUUUCCCGAUAAGCCCGGUGGAUUGCUCGAAUGGGUAGGAAGAAGCUUCAACCUCUAAAAACUCCUGCCUUCUCUGUGCUCUCUCCACUUCAGACUUCACAUUCAAGCUCUGUUCAUGGUGGGCUGUUUCGGCUUUCUGUCGUAAAGCGCAAGGAUUGAUCUGUGAAGCUAAUUAAUCUUCUUCAACGAGGGUCACAGAUCUGUCACUUUUGGCUGCUUAUAGACAAAGAUCUUUGAGCAUCCAAUCGGUGAAGAAGAAAAGACCAGAAGAAGCAGGAGAAGGAAAGAAGAGAGACAAAACAAUGCAGGAGAAAAAUAUAAUCUUUUAAGACCCUGACACCUGUUGCAUUGCUUCAGUGCUGAGGCUGCCAUUACAGGCUUUCCUUUUGAGAGAGAGAGACCUCUGUGAACUGCAAAAAGCUUACACGAGUGAGAAGCUGAGAAGUGGCUUUAUCUUUCCUGACUUGGACUGUGAUUUAUCGAAUAAUAAAAAAAGGUCUUUUUAUCACUACACAGCCAAAGUACUCUUAUGAAUUAUCGUCAUCAAUGCAUAGGAUACAGCAACUUCUUCUAGCCUCUUCAUUUCUCUUCCUCUAGAAACCCACACCCCAUAUUCAGCUCUCCUUCUCUCCGUAGUACAAAAAGUGAGAAAGCUAGCUAUCUAGCUAGUAGGGAAGCAAAAGCUAGAAAAAAGGAAAGCGGAGAAAUUUUUGAAGGGUCUUUGUUGUUUUGAGUUCUUGUUUUGACAAAGGAAUGAAAGUGCUAUGGAGGUGGAGGAGAUUCAGACACAACCCUGUAAGUUCUCUAGAGUUGGUAAUGGCAGAAAUGACAAUAGCAGAAUAGGCCAAAAAGGGAGCGGUGAACACCAAUACCCAGAUGACGAAGAAGAUGGAGAGCGAAAAAGGCCUAAUCUUGGCAGUGGAAGCAUUAGUGGUGCCAGCGGUGCGGGUGGCGAUGCCGGCAGCGCCAAUCGGCUUCGUGGGUGGCACCACUCGUCACGCAUAAUUAGGGUUUCUAGGGCUUCCGGUGGGAAAGAUCGACACAGCAAGGUAUGGACCUCAAAGGGUCUAAGGGAUCGAAGGGUGCGGUUAUCUGUGACCACUGCAAUACAAUUCUACGAUCUCCAAGAUCGGUUAGGAUAUGAUCAACCAAGCAAAGCUGUAGAAUGGUUGAUUAAAGCAGCUGCAGAUGCAAUAAACGAACUCCCUUCGCUCAAUGGUUCUUUCCCUGACACUCCAAAGCAAUUAAGCGAUGAGAAAAGAACCAGUGAUGGUCCUGAACGAGGUCCUGAUUCAGCUGAUGUGGAGCUCGAAGACCCCAAUUUUAACCCGAACCAGAACCAGCGUCUUUCAUUGUCUAAAUCUACUUGCAGUAGCGCUUCAGACACAAGCAAGGGGUCAGGGCUCUCACUUUCCAGGUCCGAUAUUCGCGUUAACCGUGCUGAGGCUCGCGGGAGAGCAAGGGAAAGAGCUGCCAAGGAGAAAGAGAAAGAUAAGGAAUCACUCAUUGCCCAUCACCAGAACAUGAACCCCAUUUCUCAAAGCUCCACAUUUACUGAGCUUUUAACAGCUGGGAUUAGUAGCGUAAGAAAUAACAACAGCAACAACGAUGGUGCUACUACUACUAGUCCUUCUGGUUCUGAGGCUAACUUGUUUCACAACAAGGCAGUCCCGGCGAGGCAAUGGCCCUUGACUCCUAUGGACUACUUUGGUACGGAGCUUUUAGGGCCGUCCUCGUCGAGGACAACCCACCAUCCUUCUGGGUUUUCAGGGCAAAUCCAGUUGGGGAAUUCAAUCCCGCAAGCAAUGUCAAUGUCGAUCCCUCCAUUUCAUUUCACGGGAGAGCAUCACCAGGAGCAAUUGCAGCAUUUUCCUUUCCUUUCCGAUCAUUUGAUCCCAGUGGCCACAACACAGUCGGGUCCCGGUGGGGACUAUAAUCUGAACUUCACCAUCUCUUCUGGCCUAGCUGGUUUCAAUAGGGGGACCCUUCAGUCCAAUUCAUCAUCACCGUCUCUUUUGCCUCACCUACAGAGGUAUUCGUCUUCUCCCUUAGACGGCUCAACAAAUGUACCUUUUUUCAUUGGUGCAGUUGGACCACCGCCACCACAAUUGGAGCAUCAUCACCAACAUCAGUUCCCACCACCUGGGUCGCAGCUCUGCUACGGAGAUGGAAGCAGGCAUUCUGACCAGAAAGGCAAAGGGAAGAACUGAAAACUGUUUGGAAACCUUCCAUCUUUUUCCUGAAUGAGAACUGCAUCUGGAUACAGCUACAUAUGUAUAACAUGGUGAUGUGUUCUGGAUAUUCUUGUUUUAGCGUUAUGGCUUCAUUUUCCCUACUCUUAACUUGAAAACACACUUCGUCCCUUUGCCUAAAAAAACAAAGAGGCUUGUUAGCUGGAGACUUGGGAGAUAACUUCACAGGCUUAGUUUUCCAAUUUAAUGGUAAAUUCCUCGUCUAGAAAGUGUAUGGAGUUCUUCAACCACUUUUUUGUCAAUUGUUUGCCAACUUCCGCUGUCAGUAGCUGAAGAUUUUGCUGCAAAAGAAGGAAGAUCAGGAUGACGUACUGCUGAAAUUAGAGGCAACUAGGAGCUCCGUCAAUGGAGCAUACCAUAGGAAAGCAAAGAUGGCAAGCCAGCAUAAGCCUGGCAAUGGGAGAUGCAGCUUUAGCUAAAGUGUUGGUGUUGAGCUUUAUCCAUUUUGAAGUGGGUUCAGGUUGCAUUCUCAUAUGUCAGGAUGCAUGUUAUGUAUGCGUGCAAAAAGCAGUCGUGUGUUUUUUUGAAAUAUGUAAAACAAUUCGUUUGAAGUGAUUCUUUUUUUCCCAUUGUUAAUGAUCAUUCUGAAAUUGUCUAUACCAUUAGUUUGAGCUCUUGGAAGCUAAUUCAGACUUAAAUGCUUCUAUGAUCACCACCAUUAUUCAUCUUCCCUCAACAGGAAAUGACAAUCUUUCAUACAUUUUUCAA